CAGCGCUUAAUUGCGCGGCGAAAAAACCUUACACACAGUGUUUUUUGUUAUUACAAGAACUUUUGCUUUGGUCUGGACUAGAAAUAGUUUGGGCCAGAGGUUUACUGAACUAAACUUCAAUAUUUAUAUUGAAUUGUUAUUUAUUUAAUUGUCAAUUUGUUGAUUAAAUUCAAAAAAUCUUCAAAACUUUCAACAACGGAUCUCUUGGUUCUCGCAUCGAUGAAGAACGCAGCGAAAUGCGAUAAGUAAUAUGAAUUGCAGAUUUUCGUGAAUCAUCGAAUCUUUGAACGCACAUUGCGCCCUCUGGUAUUCCAGAGGGCAUGCCUGUUUGAGCGUCAUUUCUCUCUCAAACCUUCGGGUUUGGUAUUGAGUGAUACUCUUAGUCGAACUAGGCGUUUGCUUGAAAUGUAUUGGCAUGAGUGGUACUGGAUAGUGCUAUAUGACUUUCAAUGUAUUAGGUUUAUCCAACUCGUUGAAUAGUUUAAUGGUAUAUUUCUCGGUAUUCUAGGCUCGGCCUUACAAUAUAACAAACAAGUUUGACCUCAAAUCAGGUAGGAUUACCCGCUGAACUUAAGCAUAUCAAUAGCCGGA
RNAcentral lists this ribosomal RNA (591 nucleotides) under Debaryomyces hansenii. Its description in RNAcentral is "eukaryotic LSU rRNA". The stretch from base 185 to 338 matches the Rfam family "5.8S ribosomal RNA". The record is from RNAcentral. Lineage: Eukaryota; Fungi; Ascomycota; Pichiomycetes; Serinales; Debaryomycetaceae.